UACGGAGGAUCCAAGCGUUGUCCGGAUUUAUUGGGUUUAAAGGGUGCGUAGGCGGAUAAUUAAGUCAGUGGUGAAAUCUUGCGGCUCAACCGUAAAAUUGCCAUUGAAACUGAUUAUCUUGAGUACAGUUGAGGUGGGCGGAAUGUAUCAUGUAGCGGUGAAAUGCUUAGAUAUGAUACAGAACACCUAUUGCGAAAGCAGCUCACUAAACUGCAACUGACGCUGAGGCACGAAAGCGUGGGGAUCAAACAGG
Molecule: ribosomal RNA, 253 nt
Filed under: uncultured bacterium
Lineage: Bacteria
Also listed under: 1 other name
Description: partial 16S ribosomal RNA
Rfam family: Bacterial small subunit ribosomal RNA
Source: RNAcentral